RNAcentral lists this ribosomal RNA (1290 nucleotides) under uncultured bacterium. RNAcentral describes it as "partial 16S ribosomal RNA". It matches the Rfam family "Bacterial small subunit ribosomal RNA", at positions 62 to 1343 of the family's 1533-position model. The record is from RNAcentral.
UCGAGGGGCAGCGGGGUUGUAGCAAUACAACUGCCGGCGACCGGCGCACGGGUGAGUAACACGUAUGUAACCUGCCCUCUGCAGGGGGAUAAGCGGAAGAAAUUCCGUCUAAUACCGCAUAAUACAAUUUGGAGACAUCUCCGGGUUGUCAAAGGAGUGAUCCGGCAGAGGAUGGACAUGCGGCGCAUUAGCUAGUCGGCGGGGUAACGGCCCACCGAGGCUACGAUGCGUAGGGGUUCUGAGAGGAAGGUCCCCCACACUGGUACUGAGACACGGACCAGACUCCUACGGGAGGCAGCAGUGAGGAAUAUUGGUCAAUGGGCGGAAGCCUGAACCAGCCAAGUCGCGUGAGGGAAGACGGUCCUAUGGAUUGUAAACCUCUUUUGCAGGGGAGCAAGGCGCGGUACGUGUACCGCGAAGGAGAGUACCCUGAGAAAAAGCAUCGGCUAACUCCGUGCCAGCAGCCGCGGUAAUACGGAGGAUGCGAGCGUUAUCCGGAUUUAUUGGGUUUAAAGGGUGCGCAGGCGGACUGUUAAGUCAGCGGUAAAAUGUCGGUGCUCAACACCGGCCCGGCCGUUGAAAACUGGCAGCCUUGAGUGAGCGAGAAGUCUGCGGAAUGCGUGGUGUAGCGGUGAAAUGCAUAGAUUUCUUGGAGAACCCCGAGNGCGAAGGCAGCCCACCGGCGCUCAANNGANGNUCAGGCACGAAAACGUGGGAUCUCUUUAGGGAGAAANNNNGGNAGUNAAAGAAAAAAAGGACCCUCUGNAGAAANNNNNNNNNNNNNNNNACUGCAAAUGAAGAGAAAGCGUUAAGCAUUCCACCUGGGGAGUACGCCGGCAACGGUGAAACUCAAAGGAAUUGACGGGGGCCCGCACAAGCGGAGGAACAUGUGGUUUAAUUCGAUGAUACGCGAGGAACCUUACCCGGGCUCAAACGGAAGGGGACAGUAUGAGAAAUCAUACAUUCCUUCGGGACCGCUUCCGAGGUGCUGCAUGGUUGUCGUCAGCUCGUGCCGUGAGGUGUCGGCUUAAGUGCCAUAACGAGCGCAACCCCUAUCGACAGUUGCUAGCAGGUAAAGCUGAGGACUCUGUCGAGACUGCCGGCGCAAGCUGUGAGGAAGGCGGGGAUGACGUCAAAUCAGCACGGCCCUUACGUCCGGGGCGACACACGUGUUACAAUGGCAGGUACAGCGGGAGGCCACCCGGCGACGGGGCGCAGAACCCGAAAACCUGUCUCAGUUCGGAUUGGAGUCUGCAACCCGACUCCAUGAAGCUGGAUUCGCUAGUAAUC